This 301-nucleotide ribosomal RNA is filed under the name uncultured bacterium. Its description in RNAcentral is "partial 16S ribosomal RNA". It matches the Rfam family "Bacterial small subunit ribosomal RNA", at positions 509 to 809 of the family's 1533-position model. The record is from RNAcentral.
CAGUCGCCACGGUAAUACAGAGGGUGCGAGCGUUAAUCGGAUUUACUGGGCGUAAAGCGUGCGCAGGCGGUUAUAUAAGACAGAUGUGAAAUCCCCGGGCUCAACCUGGGAACUGCAUUUGUGACUGUAUAGCUAGAGUACGGCAGAGGGGGAUGGAAUUCCGCGUGUAGCAGUGAAAUGCGUAGAUAUGCGGAGGAACACCGAUGGCGAAGGCAAUCCCCUGGGCCUGCACUGACGCUCAUGCACGAAAGCGUGGGGAGCAAACAGGAUUAGAUACCCGUGUAGUCCCUGUCUCUUAUAA